GUCAUCCUCCCAAUGCCAUUGCUCUUCCUCUUCUCCUACAACGACAAGUAUUUUUAGCAGCUUUGGUGCACUCGCGCGGGUGACUCUCGGUGAAUGUUUUCAUCAUGGGGCAAUCUCUCACAAUCAAUUUUUCCAAUGAUGGGAAUUUAAAUUCACAUUUCUUGUAGCUGCAGAAACUCGUGAGGAUUGAGGCAAGAAGACCAAGUAGAGUGACCAACCUUUGUGGUUGUGUGCAAUUGAGGAAAGCUCAAGAGCAAGGUACUGAUAGAGGUGAGGUUGAUCGAGGCAAGAAGCAUGAGUAGAUUGUACCUGAUAUCUGGGCAUGUUGAGUUGCAUGCCAUUUAGCAUUGCUAUAUGUAUAUUUUGAUGCCACAUGAUGUAUUUUGGAGGAC
Long non-coding RNA from Gastrolobium bilobum, 392 nucleotides. RefSeq lists it as uncharacterized. The record is from RefSeq and is a predicted model, not a curated record. NCBI's taxonomy places the organism in Eukaryota, Viridiplantae, Streptophyta, Magnoliopsida, Fabales, Fabaceae. The transcript has 3 exons.